Molecule: ribosomal RNA, 800 nt
Filed under: Bacillus subtilis
Lineage: Bacteria; Bacillati; Bacillota; Bacilli; Caryophanales; Bacillaceae
Description: bacterial SSU rRNA
Rfam family: Bacterial small subunit ribosomal RNA
Source: RNAcentral
AGUCGAGCGGAAGAAGGGAGCUUGCUCCCGGAUGUUAGCGGCGGACGGGUGAGUAACACGUGGGUAACCUGCCUGUAAGACUGGGAUAACUCCGGGAAACCGGAGCUAAUACCGGAUAGUUCCUUGAACCGCAUGGUUCAAGGAUGAAAGACGGUUUCGGCUGUCACUUACAGAUGGACCCGCGGCGCAUUAGCUAGUUGGUGGGGUAAUGGCUCACCAAGGCAACGAUGCGUAGCCGACCUGAGAGGGUGAUCGGCCACACUGGGACUGAGACACGGCCCAGACUCCUACGGGAGGCAGCAGUAGGGAAUCUUCCGCAAUGGACGAAAGUCUGACGGAGCAACGCCGCGUGAGUGAUGAAGGUUUUCGGAUCGUAAAGCUCUGUUGUUAGGGAAGAACAAGUGCGAGAGUAACUGCUCGCACCUUGACGGUACCUAACCAGAAAGCCACGGCUAACUACGUGCCAGCAGCCGCGGUAAUACGUAGGUGGCAAGCGUUGUCCGGAAUUAUUGGGCGUAAAGGGCUCGCAGGCGGUUUCUUAAGUCUGAUGUGAAAGCCCCCGGCUCAACCGGGGAGGGUCAUUGGAAACUGGGAAACUUGAGUGCAGAAGAGGAGAGUGGAAUUCCACGUGUAGCGGUGAAAUGCGUAGAGAUGUGGAGGAACACCAGUGGCGAACGCGACUCUCUGGUCUGUAACUGACGCUGAGGAGCGAAAGCGUGGGGAGCGAACAGGAUUAGAUACCCUGGUAGUCCACGCCGUAAACGAUGAGUGCUAAGUGUUAGGGGGUUUCCGCCCCUUAG